CCUACGGGUGGCAGCAGUAGGGAAUAUUGCUCAAUGGGGGAAACCCUGAAGCAGCAACGCCGCGUGGAGGAUGAAGGUUUUCGGAUUGUAAACUCCUUUUGUUAGAGAAGAUAAUGUCGGUAUCUAACGAAUAAGCACCGGCUAACUCCGUGCCAGCAGCCGCGGUAAUACGGAGGGUGCAAGCGUUACUCGGAAUCACUGGGCGUAAAGUGCGCGUAGGCGGGAUAGCAAGUCAGAUGUGAAAUCCUAUAGCUUAACCAUAGAACUGCAUUUGAAACUGUUAUUCUAGAGUAUGGGAGAGGUAGGUGGAAUUCUAGGUGUAGGGGUAAAAUGCGUAGAGAUCAAGAGGAAUACUCAGUGCGAAGGCGACCUGCUAGAACAUAACUGACGCUGAUGCGCGAAAGCGUGGGGAGCAAACAGGAUUAGAUACCCCAGUAGUC
RNAcentral lists this ribosomal RNA (440 nucleotides) under uncultured bacterium. RNAcentral's name for it is "partial 16S ribosomal RNA". It matches the Rfam family "Bacterial small subunit ribosomal RNA", at positions 338 to 795 of the family's 1533-position model. The record is from RNAcentral.